This 247-nucleotide ribosomal RNA is filed under the name uncultured Catonella sp. RNAcentral's name for it is "partial 16S ribosomal RNA". It matches the Rfam family "Bacterial small subunit ribosomal RNA", at positions 94 to 339 of the family's 1533-position model. Lineage: Bacteria; Bacillati; Bacillota; Clostridia; Lachnospirales; Lachnospiraceae. The record is from RNAcentral.
AGUGGCGGACGGGUGAGUAACGCGUGGGCAACCUGCCCUAUACAGGGGGAUAGCAGCUGGAAACGGCUGGUAAGACCGCAUAAGUCGGUUAAAUCGCAUGAUUUGAUCGGGAAAUGAGCAAUCAGGUAUAGGAUGGGCCCGCGUCCGAUUAGCCAGUUGGCAGGGUAAAAGCCUACCAAAGCGACGAUCGGUAGCCGGACUGAGAGGUCGGACGGCCACAUUGGGACUGAGACACGGCCCAAACUCC